GCGGAUGUGGCGGAAUUGGCAGACGCGCUAGAUUCAGGUUCUAGUGGUGGCAACACCAUGGGGGUUCAAAUCCCUUCAUCCGCA
This 84-nucleotide transfer RNA is filed under the name Candidatus Epulonipiscium sp. RNAcentral describes it as "tRNA-Leu". It matches the Rfam family "tRNA". From Rfam's summary of the family: Transfer RNA (tRNA) molecules are approximately 80 nucleotides in length. Their secondary structure includes four short double-helical elements and three loops (D, anti-codon, and T loops). Further hydrogen bonds mediate the characteristic L-shaped molecular structure. tRNAs have two regions of fundamental functional importance: the anti-codon, which is responsible for specific mRNA codon recognition, and the 3' end, to which the tRNAs corresponding amino acid is attached (by aminoacyl-tRNA synthetases). tRNAs cope with the degeneracy of the genetic code in two manners: having more than one tRNA (with a specific anti-codon) for a particular amino acid; and 'wobble' base-pairing, i.e. permitting non-standard base-pairing at the 3rd anti-codon position. Lineage: Bacteria; Bacillati; Bacillota; Clostridia; Lachnospirales; Lachnospiraceae. The record is from RNAcentral.